This 206-nucleotide long non-coding RNA is filed under the name Olea europaea (common olive). RNAcentral's name for it is "long non-coding RNA (OEUR_LNC012262)". The record is from RNAcentral. Lineage: Eukaryota; Viridiplantae; Streptophyta; Magnoliopsida; Lamiales; Oleaceae.
CCCAAUGCUUACCAUGCCACUUGUAGAGAGUACGAUGAUUACUGCGAGUUUAUUAAGCUGUCAGAAAGUGAAGAAACCUCAACGAGUUUGAGGAUUUUUUGUGGGCUUUAACAAGGCUUUUUUCCUAAUCUAUGGGUGACGGAAACUGGGGAAAAUUUAGAGUGAGAAGUGUUUUCAGGGUGAAGUUAGAGAGAGAGAGAGAGAGA